Long non-coding RNA from Bombus pascuorum, 4299 nucleotides. RefSeq lists it as uncharacterized. The record is from RefSeq and is a predicted model, not a curated record. NCBI's taxonomy places the organism in Eukaryota, Metazoa, Arthropoda, Insecta, Hymenoptera, Apidae. The transcript is spliced from 3 exons.
GGCGAGCUUCGUUGCAUCGAAACCGACAGAGUGAGAGAGAAGUGGCUGAGGCGCGGCAGACGAUGGAAGGGGACUGGAUGGACGACAAGGGUCAGCUGAUAGCGGACAAUUAUCUCUCAGUUUAACCCGAGCGAUCCGUGCCUCUAGCCGCGAUGUUGUAAAACAUUAUUGUACGCAGUCGGUCGAUCGUCCUGGGAAAUCAGCUUUCGUGAAAUAUUCGAGGAAACGGGUGUUUGCGGUUAAUCGAACUUUCCUUUGCAUACCAGUGACGAUAAAAAAUACCGUAUACUUGGUGCUUUUAAAAUGUUCCGUGUUUAAAAAUGUUCAAAAUUGAUAUAUCACGUUGGACGUUUUUAUCAAAGUUUCAAAUCUAAUUUGGAUGUCUUACACGAUGGAUGACACGAUCCAGAAAACAGCUGGCCCGAGAGCGAAGGUCACCGGCCAUGGAAUAUAAUUAGUCCGCGCCACUUAUGGAACGUCAGGCCAACUAUGGGUACACUAUACGCUGAAACGCUCACGCUAGUCGUCACGAGAUCUACUUGGAAAUCGGCCUUUGUCCAACACGUGUGCCCACGUACAGCUUUAUUUCCUUCUUAAAGCGACUCUUUCGUUCUACCGUCUGGACCAUAUGUCACGAAAGGAACGCCAGGAAAUGACCUGCGCAUUGAUGGUCAGUAUCGGCAAAUCUUUCAAUGGUAACCAACUUUUUUUCCAGGAACGUUCCAUGGACUUCCUCUUUUCCUUUAAAGGAUCCUUAGCGGGUCGAUUGUUCGGCGAAACCUUGGACGAGCCUUUGGAUUUUCCAAAUAGGAGAUAAGCGAUGCCAGAGUACAUAGUAAUUACGACAGCUGUAAUUGCCGGUGUAUUAGCCGUUGCAAAUGUCGAACGUGCCAACCACAAGGUUUCCCUCGUAAACCUGGGGGAAGAAGAUCGUCCAAUUAACUGUCUCGUUUAAUUGAAUCUUAUUUCCUUUUCGCUUGGUCCAGUUCCAUCGGGGCUUCCGCGCUUAAUCGCGCAAGCCGAACGCAAUGCCUAGAAGAACAACCACGGACAAAAGUAAUUUCAGCCUCCUGCUGGUAAAUCACGGACGAUUUAUUGUACGAUAGAAAAGACAGAGUUAAAUGGAGCAGCAUUUUUGUGGUAGUCGUUGGUACUUCAGCCUUCGACAGCUCGCAAAUUGUCGUCGAGAGCCGCUCGAAUUUUGUGAAAACGGACCAUACCACGUUUAAAUGCCUGUCCAGACACGAGGCAUUCUUUCGAAUUUUUCAGACAAUUCGUUUUGCGGCGGAUGCCACGAGGGAGAGAACAGCAAGCAGAAACGAAGUAGAGGAGUUUCGGGAACCAAGGGGAUACGGGGAGCAAUUCCCCGGGACGAGUCGAGGUGGAGGUGCAGGUAUUCUUUUUAAGGCGGAACACUUUACCGUUGCUCGUUCCAUGCUGGUAAUGGAGAAUCUCCCAGCCACCCCAAGGAAUUAAUUCGGGGCUAACGCCGAGACACUCCCCGAUAUCGAGUCACUUCGUUCCACGGGCCAAUGUUAGUAUCUGCUUACCACCCUCUCGGUUAGCUUUUCACCGUACUUAGCCAUUUCGACUCCUUCUUUUCUCUUCUUGUUCAGCGAAACGAUUUCUAAUUUGUCCUCUAAUUUGUCCAAGAUCCUCGAAUCCGUUUUACUGGGUCACUUGAAAAAAGUAAAGAAAGAGGAUAGAGAAAAAAAAGAAAGGUAAAACGUUCUCUGUAUCUUUUUCCGUCUGUUAGUCCACUGGCUGCAUCUGCCUACGUAUUCGUCGGAUAUUUGGCUGUGAUUUUUGACCAUCAAUUGUGCGCUUAAGCAGUCGUAGUAGCCCUUUAUUGCCAGGGUCGCGGUCUCCAAGAUGAAAAGCGAACUCCUGGCGAGCUUCCACCAGAAUUAAGAGACACUCGAGGCGCUUUUUAAUUAGCACGAAAGGACAUCAUCGGGGAGAGACAGAGCUUCGGUCUAAAUACGUAAUUAAAGCCGUGAAUGGAGUAGCUACAUUAACUGCGCGAAACGUCAUCGACUGCCAGUGAAAUCGGCCGAAAAACGCACUCUUUCGGAAGCGUGCUGGCGCAAUUCCUCUUCCCACGUUCUCUCAAAAACUCAUUCUCAUAACUUUAUCUAUAUUUACGCGCGAAGCUUCUUCGUCGUAAAUGCAAAUCUUUCAGAAAUUUGUUUACAUUCUCUCAUCGAGGAAGCAUCACGGUGGCAUCCCUCUUUCACGAUACAAAGCACGUGUUAUUCGCCGGUUCGCAUUUCUCUAAAAUUCUUCCAGCAUUCUCGUACGAAGGAGAAAUCACUGCAGGAUUUUCUUGGCGAUGCGAAGCACGUGUCGUUCGCCGCAGAAUCUGCUUCUCUAUGGAAUUCUUCGAGUAUAACCUCUCCCCUUCUGACGAAAAUUCAGAAGAUUCCGAAGAAAAGGAAAAAAUCGAAAUUCGAAAGCCCUGGUGUUUGAGCAAGUACGCACAGGAUGCCUUUGAAAGCAUCUUCGGGCGCACGAAGCGCGCGCAAAAGAGAUGAACGAGAUCGGGGCGCGAGGUCGAGGGAGGCUGGCACAGCAUGAAAGGGAGGGGGAGAACCCGAGGGCCGAGAAAGAGAGGGAAAUUCAAAGAUGGCGCCACGCGUAUGCCCGACAGAGAUAUAGCACAAGGGUUAAAGAAAGACGUGCACUUUCGUUGGCUUCCCCUCUCACAGCGACGAAGAGUGACCGGGCCGAAAAGUCCGAAUCCGAUCGUGGAACGGCUCAGUAGUGCGCGAGACACAUUUCCCGACGCGUGUUCGUCGCUCCUAUCGAUAUCUCUCGAUGAUUCACGAGCGUUGCGGCGAGAAUACGCGGCGACCAAUCCCCAGUUCCGUUACAUCAGCAUCCGACUACGUGGGUCCUCGACGAUUGGCUCUCUCUGCGCUGUACUCGAGUAUCUCUCUCUAGCAACCAGAAAGGGAGAAAAAGAGAUGCACUCGUAUAUUUUAUACUCGCGAUUCUGGCUUAUUCUCGUACGAGAUACAGCGUGAUCUGUUCGUUGAAGAAUCGUGCGUGCUUUUCGUGUGAAUCGAGAAAUUACGAGCUUUCGAAGAGGAAACGUUAGCGAGAAUUCAACCAACAGCCGAGCGACUGAGAAAGGGAAGAGAGGGAGAGCAGAGCAGAGCAGAGUAGAGGGUAUUUUGGACGCAGAUCGAUCGGUCGCGGCCGCUCUCCGGUUCGCGCCAUGUGACCGGUCAAAGACCAGUCUGCAUGGGAAAAGAGGUUAGAAAAUUUAUCCGUUGUCUUUGCGCGUACGGUGGCCGCGUGGUGUUACGUCCUUUCGUUAAUCGAGAAAAUGAGAGGUGUCGAGUAGCUUGACGUUGUUCGUAGCGCGCGAGCCAGUGAACGAUUCGGUUGUUUUUCAUAAAGUGUGCAUCGGUCGCCUUAGUUGUUAUAGUGGCGGCGGUCUUCGAAGAGCGCGAUCGCGAGGGAAAAGAGAGCAGCGAAGUUUGCUACGACAGUGUGUAGUUGUCUCGGGUCAGAUGUAAAAAUAAAAGGAAGCAGACGUGUCUCAAGGCUAUCGCGCCGCAUAUUGUCUCGCCAGGAGCGUAAAAUCACGCGAGAGUCUCCCUGCAUGCCGUUUAUUUCAUUCCGCCGAUAUCCUCCGAUGUAAGCGCGCGCAUCCUCUUAUCGUCGCUUCGCUCGUAUACUUGCACGGUUUACACGCGAGAGUGUUGCUAAUAUAACCCGCUUUCCGAGUGGAGCUUUUGUUCAGUGUCACGAGUUUAUUCUUCGUCGCUUGAAAAAAAUCGCGCGCUUUAGGAAGGAAAUAAAUUAGAUCACGGUAGUUCAACUAAUUAAACUCCAGCUGAAUAUAAUGUAAAGCGUAUAAUGUGUAUAUAUGGGAUUAUAAUAUUAAUUCCUCUUGUUUUUAUAUUUAUUACUGUAAAAAAAAAAAAAUACAAAAAACAGGACGAAUUUAUGUUACAACCCAGUAGUAUAAUACAAUGUAAGGAUUAAUUCCAUCGUUGAUAUAUUGGGAACAACGAAACGUAUUUUUCGUUUGUUUUGCUUUCGAUCUCUUCUCUCGUGGUAUCUCGAUUCCGGUGAGACAAAAAGAACGCCGCUUGGAACAAAUGCAGGGUUCGUCCGUGCGUGAAAUUCUACGAGGUUCGUUCCGAGAAAGAAAUCAGCUCGAAGAAAAAUAAAUAAACGUGUGUUCUCUGCAUACGUUCGAUACAUUGUUAGCACUUUUUCGAGAAUUCUUUUGUGACAAAACUUGGCUAUUGUAUGUAUAUAUAGAAAAUAUUUAUGUAUUCAACC